UACGGGGGGGGCAAGCAUUGUUCGGAAUUACUGGGCGUAAAGGGCUCGUAGGCGGCCAACUAAGUCGGAUGUGAAAUCCCCAGGCUCAACCUGGGAACUGCAUCCGAUACUGGAUGGCUUGAAUUCGGGAGAGGGAUGCAGAAUUCCAGGUGUAGCGGUGAAAUGCGUAGAUAUCUGGAGGAAUACCGGUGGCGAAGGCGGCAUCCUGGACCGACAUUGACGCUGAGGAGCGAAAGCUAGGGGAGCAAACGGG
RNAcentral lists this ribosomal RNA (253 nucleotides) under uncultured bacterium. RNAcentral's name for it is "partial 16S ribosomal RNA". It matches the Rfam family "Bacterial small subunit ribosomal RNA", at positions 524 to 776 of the family's 1533-position model. The record is from RNAcentral.